This 919-nucleotide long non-coding RNA is filed under the name Mytilus galloprovincialis (Mediterranean mussel). The record is from RNAcentral. Lineage: Eukaryota; Metazoa; Mollusca; Bivalvia; Mytilida; Mytilidae.
AUUGCAAAAGCUUGUUUAUAGUCAACUCAACAAACGAAUAUAUAGACAUAAUACCCAUCAGAAUAAAGGUACGCUAAAUUUCAUAAUUCAUAAUUUAGGUUAGUACGUAAUGUUUGGAUACCCACUCGAAAUAUUGUCUUCUCGUUUAUUUAUUUACAAAAAUAUGUAUGGCCACAUGAUCAAAAGUUUAUAAGUAGAAAACAAAACAAUAUUAUUUUCAAACCCAAAAGGAUGCAAUACUACAAGCAUAUUACUAAAAUGACACAUAUUGCCUAUGUAUCAAGUAACAUUAUUCACGUUUAAAUUGAGAUAUCUAUUUCAACCAAAAAUAAACACGGGUAAACAUAAUAAAGGUGUUACAAAACAAUACACUUACGUAAUUUUCUCCUAUUAUAGUAAUAUGAUAAAGGAUGACAACAAUCUCCCAUCAAUAUACUUGAUACCUUAAGUUUACAAAUAUUCUCUAUAAAGAACGAUAAAUGACCGAUUCGAAACAUCUUGUGUCAGAAUGAACUAUCAUUUCAUCAGUGAAAUAUGCCAUUCGGAAAAAUUGUAUUGAGAUUUUAUCAUUCAGUGGUCUCUUCUUUUGAUUUUGAAAAUUUGAAAUAUAUAUUCCCAAAAACCUUCAUCACAAUCUGUACAAAUUACUGCAAUAGAAUCAAAACGCUAACCAAUACUAUUACCCAAUUGACAGAUCGACUACAUUGUUUCAUUGCACAUCUACUUUAACUUUUAACAGCUUUGCCAGGAUUGUUAUUGGAAGGAUCUAGUUCUUGAUGGCUUUUAUACAAGAUAUGAUACUUCGAUGUAUUUAAUGAGGAAUAACAUUAUUUUAAGCCACAGACAAACAACAAUUAGCCAACUAUUGUACAAAAAAGCGGUUUUCAAGCAAUUGUACAAAUAAAGUAUCCUGUUACCC